Long non-coding RNA from Rana temporaria (common frog), 547 nucleotides. RefSeq lists it as uncharacterized. The record is from RefSeq and is a predicted model, not a curated record. Lineage: Eukaryota; Metazoa; Chordata; Amphibia; Anura; Ranidae. The transcript is spliced from 4 exons.
CCUCCGACCAAUGGGAAGUUAAGAGGGCGGGGCCAUCUCUGUAUAUAUAGGACCGAAGCUGCAACCUCCUUCAGCUCAGAGUUGAGAACUACCUCCAGAUUGGGAAAGAACCUCAGCGCUGACAACCGCCAUCAUGAAAGUCUUGGCCCUCGUCGUCCUCGUCAUCGCCAUCAGUGGCCUGGAAGCCGGUGUCGUGAAGAGAGAUGCACCGGAUCAAUUUCAGCAAAUAACUGAGCUUUUCCAAGGCUUUUCCAAGACCCUCCAGGAGAAGUUCGCCAACGCAGAGAUCCCGGCUCAGACUCAGGAACUGGGCGCCAAGAUCCAGGAACACGGAGCAAAUUUAUCCGCCGGCAUCCAGAAAUGGAUUGAAGAGAUGAUUGCCCUCAGCAAACAAAAACUGAGCUAAGCUGCACCCCAUUUUCCUGCGAUCUGCGGCACUGCGCUCCCCCCGAACCCCAUCUCUACCACACCCCUUCAUCUAUUGUUACUGUGUGACUGACUGUUCCUUUUAUAACAUGUUAUAAUAAAACUUGUAUUCUGUGCCAAC